This is a long non-coding RNA of Cynoglossus semilaevis (tongue sole), 1700 nucleotides long. RefSeq lists it as uncharacterized. The transcript has 6 exons. The record is from RefSeq and is a predicted model, not a curated record. NCBI's taxonomy places the organism in Eukaryota, Metazoa, Chordata, Actinopteri, Pleuronectiformes, Cynoglossidae.
CUUGCCGUGACCCCUUUUUUUAACGAGAUGGAUGAGCAUCAGCUGUGAGGAGCUACACUCAGCAGCACCUGAAGGUAGCACAGGGUGAGGUGACGUCACCGACUCCCAACCGGCACCGACGUCUCCUUCCUGCAUUGACAUCCCGCGGAAGAACUCGUCGGUUCUUUUUUCAUGUCUCCCACCUUCUUCAGUACAGCCGCCUUGUACAAGUUGGCCGACUUGCUGUUCUUAAAGACCUCAAACUCGAUGUCCACCGCCAACAUCUGGGUGUCAGAGCUGAGAUGUCAGAGAGGAAGAUCCGCCUGGAAACCGAACGGUCCUUUGGGCUUGUUGCUCUGAGCUGCUACGGUCCUGGUGCUGAGGACCGCCGCUUUCUCCAGCUGGGCCCGGACAACUUUGGGGUUGCGGCAGAAGUCGCAGGCUCCCGCACAGUUUGGACUCUUGUCCCCGAAGAACUGGGAGAUGAUGGCGUGACGGCAUCUGAUGGACGAAAGGACAGAUGCUGAACUGCUGACUCAUCUUGUACGAUCUCUACCAGUCGGUUUGGAGCUCAGCAGAGUGUGAGAAAAGUACAGAAGACAAAGCUGCAGCAACGCCAAACCACAGACUCACGUCUUUGCAGAGACACGAUUCACAGCCCAAAAAAAACAAAACAAAAUCAGCCCAGUUCGGUCGGCGUGUCCGCAGCACGGACCAGGAGUUACAUCCUGGAUGAAUCGGGAACCUGUGUAAACCAAACUGCAGCUCAACCUUUGCAGAGUAAACACCAAAAUCCACCUCCCUGCUGCUCUGUCAUCAGGAUGGAUCCUAAAAACGCCACGCUGACCCUCCUAAACAGGAUAUGGGUGAAGCUGCAGGGUCUGCCCACUGCCAAUGAAAUCGAGGUGGCGGGUUUCUUCAUCCUGCUCAUCUUCAUCUCGUUGGUUCUGAUCAUGACCUUAGUGACCUGCCUGACCUUCUGCUGCACCUGCUGUCGGGGGAAGAAGGGAUCUAUCUGAGCGGCAUGUGUGCUAGAUUUUUUGGGAUCGUUUGCCUUCCUUACUGGGCCUCUACACAGAGACACCCACAUUACAGGUCUGUGUCUGAGGAGCCGUGGACAGGGUGUGUGGAGCACAGCCUGUCAAUAACAAAGCAACUGAGUGCCAAGGGUGGAGAAGUGGUUCCACCUGAUCCUGCUCUGUGGUUCAAAGUACUUCAGUACUUUGAAUAAGGUACUAUAGUCUGGCUUUGCCUCAGUGUCUCCUUGGAUUUGGAUUAAAUGAUAAAAGUUAACGUUUUAUUGAUUUGUACUACACUUCUCUCCUAUGCACAUGGUGCAGAUUAUCACGUGAUGCCACUCAAGCAAUCACAUGAAUGACUGCAUGCUAACUCUGGAUGACUAAUUUUAUUUUAUUCUGGGUUUUUUUUAAAAAACUGAUUUUAAUAUAACUGCUUGUAAUAUGGGGUUGUUUUUAUUAUGUUCCACCGACUUAAGAAAGUUAAUUUCAUGUCAAAUCAUCUUCUGUUUAAAAAAAUAAAUUUUUCCAGAGAAGGAAUUUUGUUUACACGACUGUUUCCACUAACAAUGACAGACAGGACGACGCCUGCCCUCUGCUGUACAAAAAGUGUAAUAGCAUGUUUAUGAAAAACGGAGUUCACGUACAUAAUGUAUAAAGCUGAGGGGAAAAUGUGACUUUUUAAGUUAACAUCGCUACUUUGAU